This is a long non-coding RNA of Triticum dicoccoides, 1857 nucleotides long. RefSeq lists it as uncharacterized. The record is from RefSeq and is a predicted model, not a curated record. Lineage: Eukaryota; Viridiplantae; Streptophyta; Magnoliopsida; Poales; Poaceae. The transcript has 4 exons.
CUUGCGAGAGGCGCGUGCACGCUCAGAGUUCAGAUCGAGGGCCUCCACUUGCCCCCGUGCCCGCAGUCCAGUUCAGAUCCACCGCCUCCAUCCCCAUCGAGCACAAUCCACCUCGCCGUUGACUGUUGCCUCCCUCCCCAUGGAGCGCCGUCCACCCCGCCGUUGACGGCCGCCUCCCUCCCCAUGAAGCGCCGUCCACCUCGCCGUUGACGGCCGCCUCCCUCCCCAUGGAGCGCCAUCCACCCCGCCGCUGGCGGCCGCCUCCCUCCCCUUGAAGCGCCGUCCACCUCGCCGUCGACGGCCGCCUCCCUCCCCAUGAAGCGUCGUCCACCCCGCUGUUGAGGGCCGCCUCCACCCCUCCAGACCGGCCACCUCUUCGCUGCGAGCCUAGGACGUCCAGAUCUGCCUACCUCGGCUCUGACUUCCAGAUCCUCCCCCAGAUCCGCCUGCGUGCAAAGGUGACUCCAUCCCCGUCCAGGGCCCCCCUGCUCCUCCUCUUCCUAAUCUGGCUGCCGUGUCAAAUAAUUUUACUUCUGCUGCAGAGCUAGAUCUACUCUUUUGUUAUUCCUUGCUUGUUGUUACUCUGUACAUUGUUGUUUGAGAUCGACCUCAGAUAUUGUUUGAUUAAUAUAGUAUGUUAAUCUUCGCAUAUAUUUCUUCAUGGCUUUGUUCUGCGUUUUAGUUUGUGACAAAGAUUGCCAUGCAUUCUUUGGUGUCAAAUGACCUUGUGUACUGAAGCUGGUGCAAUAGAAUUACCUUGUACAAUCAUCCAUAUGUUUUAUGGUAAAAGUAAAAGAUUAUUUAUUUCAUUUUUAAUUCUGAACAUGCCUCGUUGUGCAUCUUUAUGUCAGUGUGAAAGGACUUCUAUAGGGAGAGAGAAAUUGCUAUUUAGGAUUGCAAUUUAGUUGUCAAAUCUGUCUACUAUUGCCUUUUUGGUUCACAAUUAGUUUCCAAAUUAAGUACUUAAAUGAUGCUGAUUUUGCUGUUUGAGUAAUCGUGCACUUGUGAUAAAUUCGCUAUGUUUCAGGGGUGGUUCAUGAUCAUCCAUUCAGACCAAAAGCAUGUUGGUAAGUUGCAUUCAGUUUAUGGUGGGAAAGAUGUAUUGCCAUAGGGAAGCUACAAAAUUGAACACUUACAGGUGCAUGGGUAGUUUAUUUGAGUUAUAGGUGAUGGUGCUAUAAGGAAAGCAGUGCUUGUUGCAAAAGCUAGGGAGAAGGAUGUAGGACAAUCACACUCUGUUGUACCAAGAUUUAUUGAGGAAAAAUGUUCAGUUGCAAAGGCACUGCAAAAAUGAUUCUCUUCUGACCAAACAUCUACAAUUGAUAUAUGUCAAGAUGGGAUAGGUAAUACCCAAGAGCUUCUUGCUUUUCAUGAUGAGCCAAUGGAUGGUAGUGAUCUGUGCUAGCCUAAAAAGCCGGACAUGGGGACAUGCUCAGACAUGCGUAUGCCGCCGUAUUUCGUGAUUACGAAUGAAAAAAAGAAUGCAUAGGGAGCAUGUCCUCCCAAUGGCAACCACACCAGACUAGGGGUGAAUGAUCCUCCCAAGGCCAAGAGAAUGCUUGUACUCCAUUGACAAAUUCUUCUCAUCCUGAAGAUCUUGCUCAUGCUACACACCUGGAUGAGCGUGGUUCUACUCCAAAGAGGAUAAUCAUUCAGGAAUGCCACUAGCAUAAUUAGUGUUUAAUAUCGUGAACCAGGGUGCAGGUAGCCUUUUAUUUUUUCACUUGCUUCUCUUGGCAAUUCAUGUAAAUUCGUGGCAAAUCAUGUGAGUUGAGGUUCUAUGAAUCAUGAGUUGGAUAUAAAUAUGUGGAUCUUGUGAACAUUGAGCUUUCAAUAUAAUUGGUUCAUUGUGAAUUA